RNAcentral lists this ribosomal RNA (526 nucleotides) under uncultured bacterium. Its description in RNAcentral is "bacterial SSU rRNA". It matches the Rfam family "Bacterial small subunit ribosomal RNA", at positions 355 to 896 of the family's 1533-position model. The record is from RNAcentral.
UAGGGAAUAUUGCACAAUGGGCGAAAGCCUGAUGCAGCAACGCCGCGUGCACGAUGAAGGCCUUCGGGUCGUAAAGUGCUUUUCUGCGAGAUGAGAAAGGACAGUAUCGUAGGAAUAAGUCUCGGCUAACUACGUGCCAGCAGCCGCGGUAAAACGUAGGAGGCGAGCGUUAUCCGGAUUCACUGGGCGUAAAGCGCGUGCAGGUGGUUUGGUAAGUUGGGCGUGAAAUCUCCCGGCUCAACUGGGAGAGGUCGUCCAAUACUACCGAACUUGAGAGCAGAAGAGGAAGAUGGAAUUCCCGGUGUAGUGGUGAAAUGCGUAGAUAUCGGGAGGAACACCAGUGGCGAAGGCGAUCUUCUGGUCUGUUUCUGACACUCAGACGCGACAGCUAGGGUAGUAAACGGGAUUAGAGACCCCGGUAAUCCUAGCCGUAAACGAUGUGAACUUGGCGUUGGUGGGUUAAACUCCAUCAGUGCCGAAGCAAACGCGAUAAGUUCACCGCCUGGGGACUACGGCCGCAAGGUUA